GAUGAACGCUGGCGGCGUGCUUAACACAUGCAAGUCGAACGAGAAGUGAAGACGGAAACCUUCGGGCGGAAGGCUUUAUUUCGAGUGGCGGACGGGUGAGUAACGCGUGGGUAACCUGCCUCAUACAGGGGGAUAACAGUUGGAAACGACUGUUAAUACCGCAUAAGACCACAGCACCGCAUGGUGCGGGGGUAAAAACUCCGGUGGUAUGAGAUGGACCCGCGUUCGAUUAGCCAGUUGGCGGGGUAACGGCCCACCAAAGCGACGAUCGAUAGCCGAUCUGAGAGGAUGACCGGCCACAUUGGGAAUGAGACACGGCCCAAACUCCGACGGGAGGCAGCAGUGGGGAAUAUUGCACAAUGGGGGAAACCGUGAUGCAGCGACGCCGCGUGAGUGAAGAAGUAUUUCGGUAUGUAAAGCUCUAUCAGCAGGGAAGAAAAUGACGGUACCUGAGUAAGAAGCCCCGGCUAACUACGUG
This 478-nucleotide ribosomal RNA is filed under the name uncultured bacterium. Its description in RNAcentral is "partial 16S ribosomal RNA". It matches the Rfam family "Bacterial small subunit ribosomal RNA", at positions 28 to 507 of the family's 1533-position model. The record is from RNAcentral.